Molecule: long non-coding RNA, 1309 nt
Organism: Homo sapiens (human)
Lineage: Eukaryota; Metazoa; Chordata; Mammalia; Primates; Hominidae
Product: long intergenic non-protein coding RNA 293
Source: Ensembl
AGGCAAAUUGCCUAGAAGUGAAUCCCCUCUCCUGCUUAAGUCCUUCCCACAGAGAGCGGUUUGAUAUGUCACUGAAACCAGCAUCCAGGUGGUAUUGCUCCAUAUGCCUGAGACCCUAACAAAAGCCUAAUUACAACUCAUAUGCCUGGAGCCAGGACAUGUGCAGGAUGCCAUGAUGGUCCAAGUUAUAUUGGGAUUCAGCCAAUAGAAGAUAUUUUGCCUGUCAUCCCUAAGCUUAGGACAAUAGACUCUGCCAAGAGAGGGGAUUAUUACAUAUUGCAGAGCCCAGCACCUAGGUGGAGUGACUCUCAUCUUUUUCUUCUACCCCGUAUAUAGCCAGCUUGGUGACCUACUAUUUGAGUCUAUACCCAGGCCCAGACCACAGAUGAAAUUGUGCAAUAUGUGGAACAAACACCUAAACAAUAUAUAACACCUUCCUUGGCUCUGUCUACAAAGGGCACUUUUAUAUAUCACUGGGACCAUCAACCAGGUGAUGUUGUGCCAUAUAACUGAGACCGUAUCAAAAGCCUAAUAACAAGACGUAUGUCUGGAGCCCCGAUAUGCACAGGAUGGUGAUAUAACCCUCUUCUCUGGAAUGGGCCCCACACAAAGGAAGGAUAGUGACAUAUUGCAAGCCCAGGCACACAGGCCCAGAGCACAGUUGAAAUUGUGACAUAUGUACACCAAGCAACCAAGCAAUGUAUAACACCUCAUUUGGCAAUGGAAUCGAGGGCACUUUUACAUAUCACUGAGACCAGCGCCCAGCUGAUGUGAAAUAUUGGCCUGAACCCUGCCUACAAAAGCAUUGUGGCUUUUAUCUAGCUCCAUUACAUAAGUGAUGUGACUUCCUUCUACUGCCUUGGCCCUGCACUUAUGGUGAAUCGUGACACAAAAUUGGGUAGAGCAACCAGCCUGGGCCCUGACCAGCACAGAGAUUGAGGCAUAUUGCUGAACCCAGGACCAAGAUGAAGUCACUCUCCUGCCUUGAUCCUGCACACAGGGACCCUUGUGACAUAUAUACAGGCCAAUUGCCUAGUGGACAUGGUGUCAUAUUACUUGAGGCUGUACCGAGGUGAUGUGACUCUUCUGACAUGGCCCUGUCUGCAAAGGAGAUUAUAAUGUAUCCUGAGCCCAGAAUCCAGAUGAUGAGACUCUCCUGCCUUGUUUCUGCUCACAGGUGCUGAACUCCUUAGUUCUGGAACUAAAUGUGAAUUCUGGACUCCGGAAUGCCAGUUGGCUUUCACAUGCCAGAGGAGUGAGGAGGCCCAGGUGGGCCUAAAAAUGUGGCUGUUGGUUGGCCUUCCACACA